Molecule: RNA transcript, 4147 nt
Organism: Prionailurus viverrinus (fishing cat)
Lineage: Eukaryota; Metazoa; Chordata; Mammalia; Carnivora; Felidae
Gene: PLEKHF1
Gene name: pleckstrin homology and FYVE domain containing 1
Exons: 4
Source: RefSeq, a predicted model, not a curated record
CGCAGGCCGCGGGAGGGGCAGGGGCACCCAGACCCGGAGCGGAAAGCAGCGCGGGAGAGCGGGCUCGAAGACAGGCGCUGGGCAGGGUGCAGGCGCGCGGGGACCAGACGGAGGAGCCAGGCUGCCAGAGAAGAUGGUGGAUUACCUGGCCAACACGGAGAUCAACAGCCAGCGCAUCGCCGCGGUCGAGAGCUGCUUCGGGGCAUCCGGGCAGCCCCUGGCCCUGCCAGGCCGGGUGCUGCUGGGCGAGGGCGUGCUGACCAAGGAGUGCCGCAAGAAGGCCAAACCGCGCAUCUUCUUCCUCUUCAAUGACAUCCUGGUGUACGGCAGCAUCGUGCUCAACAAGCGCAAGUACCGCAGCCAGCACAUCAUUCCGCUGGAGGAGGUGACGCUGGAGCCGCUGCCCGAGACCCUGCAGGCCAAGAACCGCUGGAUGAUCAAGACGGCCAAGAAGUCCUUCGUGGUGUCGGCCGCCUCCACCACGGAGCGCCAGGAGUGGAUCAGCCACAUCGAGGAGUGCGUGCGGCGGCAGCUGCUGGCCACGGGCCGCCAGCCCAGCACGGAGCACGCGGCGCCCUGGAUCCCCGACAAGGCCACGGACAUCUGCAUGCGCUGCACGCAGACGCGCUUCUCGGCCCUCACGCGGCGCCACCACUGCCGCAAGUGCGGCUUCGUGGUCUGUGCCGAGUGCUCCCGAGAGCGCUUCCUCCUGCCGCGCCUGUCGCCCAAGCCCCUGCGCGUCUGCAGCCUCUGCUACCGCGAGCUGGCCGCCCAGAAGCGGAAGGAGGAGGAGGAGGAGGAGCAGAGCGUGGGGUCCCCCCAGCAGCCGGCCUACCUGGCCGGGGCCAUCUGCGGAGCAUCCAGCGGGGACGAUGAUGACUCUGACGAGGACAAGGAGGGCAGUGGGGACGGCGACUGGCCCAGCCACGUGGAGUUCUACGCCUCCGGUGUCUCCUGGUCGUCCUUCCACAGCUGACCCGAAUCUGCAGCUGUGCGGGAGGGCCUCCCGGGUCCCUUCUGCAUCCAGUCAAACUCCAUUGCCCGUGCUCCUGAGAGAACAGAGUUCCCAGACUGCCCAGCAGCCCCCAGGACCCUGCCCCGUGGGUGGCAGGCGCAGUGGGAAUGGCUUUCUCUCUCGGCCCCCAGUGCCUUUGGGCUGGACGUUGGCAGCCUUCUGCUCCACUUCAGGUGGGACCAACAGAAUCUGCCAGUGCAUUGGAUACAGGGUGUGAGAGAAAGAGGUCAGUGCAGCUGCAAGCGUGAAGCUCCUGGUUUGUGAGACAGAGAAGGCUGCGGGCCAGCCACCAACCAGUGGUGGUUGUCUGUCGUGGUUUCUGAGCGGAGAGUGUGGGUAUCAGGAGCUCAGUUUCGGCAUGUAAAGUUGGAGACUGAAUGCAAAGUUUUACGGGAAGGACUAGAGCGCAGGCAAGAGUCCGGGCUGACAAACGCUGUUGCACACAUGGACAACCCCACAGGACAGACCGGAGGCUAGAGCCGCGGAGGUGGAGGUGGAGAUUGGGGAGCAGUCGGCCAGGCUGGAGGAGGGCCUGGAGAGCGCGGCAGCCGGCAGGGGGCCCAGCCGUGCCAGACGCUGCCCACGGGGGUCAUCGGGUGGCAUGAGGACCAAGAGCCAGCCUGUGUUCAGUAACGUGGAUGUCACGUGAAGUGGUCGCCUACAAUGUGGCUGCUGUGACAGGAGAACAUUUAGUGGGGUGGUAGGAGCAGAGGCCCGCUGGAAAGCACCCGGAGAACAGAGCCAAACUGGUGAAGUCAUCUGAAGAAUUCCGUUGCAAAGGGGAAGAGAAACGCCGCAGUGGCUAGAGAUGGAAGAGGUGCUUUAUAAAUGUGGCUCACAUUUGUGGCUUGUGUUAGAUUCUGUUGGCGAGACACUAGAGAGAAGACCCCACAUCCAAAAUGGUUCCCGGCAUGGCUGACCUUCCUGCCAGAGUCCGUGGGUACAAGUCCCACGUGCCUGGGGUGGAGCUCAAGGAGUUCAUGUUACAGUGGGGCCAUGCCUCUGAGGAGGUAGGGCCCCCGGAGCACGCUCGUGAAGACUCAGCCUCGAGUCCAGCCCAGGAGGCAGCCCCAGGGAGCUGGGGACCAGGCUGGUCUUUGUGUGGUUUAGGGACAGGUAAAGCACUCACACUUUGUAACACUAGAAUGCCCGUGGGCACAAGAUGCCCACAGCGCAGGGCCUCUUGUCUGCUGCACACUGCUUCUUCUGAACCAUGCCCUCACCGCUUUGGAAGCCUGGAGGGUCACCAGCACCCAUUAGAAUUUGUCUUUUUCUUUAUUCCCCCCAAGCAUGGAAGGGUGAAACGGCUGUAAGGUAAACAAUGUGUAUGGAGAAGUUCUAGCGAAUUUCAUAUACCCAUCCCCAUUUACUACUUAUUAAAAUUGGCUAUUAGUAUUCCAUUAUAUUGCCCACAUAUGCAGUUUGACUAUGUCCCUGUUGCUCAGCACUGGGGCUGGUUCCCUUUUCUCCUGUUGCCAUAAACAGCAGUGCUAUGAAUAUCUUUAUCCUUUUUCCAUUUGAAUUAUUUUAUUGUAAUGUUUUCCCUGAAGUGAAAUUUGUUGGCUGGAAAGUGUAUACAAUUUUAUGGUUCCUGUGACUUUUUUUCUUCAAAUCACUCUCCCAAAAGACUGUAUCACCAAGUAUUUCCUCCAGCACUCUGUGUGUGUGUGUGUGUGUGUGUGUGUGUGUGUGUGUGUCUUCCUGCAGCCCUGCCAGUUCUGGGUUUGAUCAUUUGUAUUUAUUUUUACCAAUUAAUUGUUAUGUAACAGAAGCUAUUAUCCUGGCAUUUGCUUUGCAAAUGAGAAUGAGUGAAGUCCUUCCCUUAAAACUCAUACAAAUUAAGUAAGUAGCCAUCACCUCUGUAGUUUAAAGAAACACUUUUCAGCUCCUUCUGUGUGCCAGCACUUUGGAUACCCACAGCUCCCCUGAGGCUACAACCCAGCUGGCUGGCUCGAGCUUCACCUCCUGACCCACCGUUAUCAAAUAGUCCAAGAAGCCUCCUCCGGUUAAUAAAGCCAUUUACCUCCUCCCAACAAACUGAAAACGCAUCAGUCAGCCCCCUUUCCCUGUGUGGUUUAGAUGAAUCCUGGCAUUUCUUAAUUGCCAUAUGUUGAUUGUUCAGGAUUGAGACACAUUCUGGUUUCUAUGCAAAAAGAUUGCAGGAGACAUGGCUGAUGUUCUGUUCAUGGCUUAUUAAAACCUCAGGAAGACCCUAACCGCCCUCCCAAGGGGAACUCAAUAACAGGCAUCCUGGUGGAGCCACGUCCUGGCCGGUCAGGUAACCCAAGAAGGCUGGGAGGGAAACUGACAGAGGAUGUGCAUAUUUGACCACUAGAUGGCACCUCUCAAUAACUAAUGGGGAGAGAAUUGCUUCCUUCCAAACCUCCAGCCCCAUUCCUGACAGCCUCCCCACCAUGCAUUGCAACACACCCCAGUCGUGUUUACUUCCAAGCCAGACAUCUCAAAAAAAAUAAAUAAAAUAAAAAAACCAGAAAAAUAAAAAAGUUCAUUCUAGCUAAAAAUACACCAUCUGCCUGUGAAAAAUCUUGCCCGGCGCUGUCAUGUCAACACCCAAAGCAGGUUAAUAACCGGCCCAGAACAGAUGGUUUCUUUUUAUAAUUACUGGGUCCCCCCCACCACCAGCAAGGCUUCUUCCUCAGCUGCCUCCUUACCCUGCUGGCAGCCCCCUAGUGUUUCCUGGCCACCCCGCUGCCACCGCCCAGCCAGCUACUGCCCUGCCAGCCACAGGGGGCCAGCCCAUUGCCAGCCCUCUGCUCAGGCUGUAGGACCCGGGGGCUUUCAACACCACCUGGGAAGACGGCCAUCAGGAGGUCACCCCAGCCUUGUCAACCCCACUAUCAAAGAAAAACUAAUCAAGCCAAGAUGUCAGUAAUCACUCAACAAAUAAAGUUUAAGACACUUAUCAUCCUAUUUCUGGGUGAGGAUACAGUGAGAUGUGCACCCCCAAACCCUGUUGUGGGGAAAGCAGAUUAUUAACACUGACUAUCUAGAAAGAAUUUUGACAGAAUAUAACAGCUUUAAAAAAUAUUGCAUACUGGGGUGCCUGGGUGGUUCAGUCUGUUGAGUGUCUGACUUUGGCUCAGGUCAUGAUAUCACGGUCCAUGAGUUCGA